Long non-coding RNA from Cataglyphis hispanica, 782 nucleotides. RefSeq lists it as uncharacterized. The transcript is spliced from 3 exons. The record is from RefSeq and is a predicted model, not a curated record. NCBI's taxonomy places the organism in Eukaryota, Metazoa, Arthropoda, Insecta, Hymenoptera, Formicidae.
CCGUCCUCAAUCGGUUGGUGGGGACGUGUUGCGACGGUGGGAUGUGGUCUCGUGCAUCGUCGGCUCGGCGAAGAGAAGAGUCGAUCCAGCUACGUGGGAGCGAGCGAGAUGAUGACGACGCUGAGACGAGGACUCCCAGAAGUAUAUUGUCUCUCCUUCUCAUAAGUGACGGCUUGUAACUAGCGACUAACGGUCAAGAUUAGUCGGUGAAAGGUUACAUUGGAUAAUCGAUCGUAAUUGUGCCUAUUUAGCGAGGGGUCCUCGAAGCUGUUCGAGUCUCGACUAGCGGUUUGGCGCCGAGAUAAUUAAUCGUCCUGUCGACUACUGCUUCGAGUGGUCGGCGAAGGAUGCUGCGCAUCUACAGUGGUUUAUCACGAAAAAGAAAUAAGGAACAUAGGAGAGAAAAGAGAGAAGUAGUGGAAGUCUCCUUCCAGGAGAUGAGCAUUCGUAUGGAUUCGCUCUAUGGCACGCUGUAAGAGACUACCUGCUACGAUAACAAACAGUUUACUUCCUCGUAGGACUCGUGCCUAUGCAGAAGCGGGUUACGGAUAUCUUUAAAAGCGGUCUUUUUAUCGCUAAGAGUCAGGUGUGAAUUGAAGCCACUGCUAGUUUCCGAUCAAAGAGAAUGUACCGCCGAGUCAAACCGCAUCCGAAGAAAAGACAGCGAAGAGAUUAAUCAAUCGCUUGUAUCGAUUAAUCGGCUUCGAAUGAAUUUUAAUUAUCCAUUAUGUAAACAAAAGAAAAGGAUAUAUUAUACUUAUAACAAUUUCGAGAACUUUAAA